RNAcentral lists this ribosomal RNA (448 nucleotides) under uncultured bacterium. RNAcentral describes it as "bacterial SSU rRNA". It matches the Rfam family "Bacterial small subunit ribosomal RNA", at positions 335 to 799 of the family's 1533-position model. The record is from RNAcentral.
ACUCCUACGGGAGGCAGCAGUGGGGAAUCUUGGACAAUGGGCGCAAGCCUGAUCCAGCCAUGCCGCGUGAGUGAUGAAGGCCUUAGGGUCGUAAAGCUCUUUCGCCAGGGAUGAUAAUGACAGUACCUGGUAAAGAAACCCCGGCUAACUCCGUGCCAGCAGCCGCGGUAAUACGGAGGGGUUAGCGUUGUUCGGAAUUACUGGGGCGUAAAGCGCGCGUAGGCGGGUUGUUAAGUUAGAGGUGAAAUCCCGGGGCUCAACCCCGGAACUGCCUUUAAUACUGGCAACCUAGAGUUCGAGAGAGGUGAGUGGAAUUCCGAGUGUAGAGGUGAAAUUCGUAGAUAUUCGGAGGAACACCAGUGGCGAAGGCGGCUCACUGGCUCGAUACUGACGCUGAGGUGCGAAAGUGUGGGGAGCAAACAGGAUUAGAUACCCUGGUAGGAUAGCG